Long non-coding RNA from Phasianus colchicus (ring-necked pheasant), 2288 nucleotides. Lineage: Eukaryota; Metazoa; Chordata; Aves; Galliformes; Phasianidae. The record is from Ensembl.
GUACCAUUUACCAUAAUUUGGUCAAAUAGCAUGUUUUGUAAGCAAAGACUGGGUUUGAUGCACGAUAUGCACUCAGCUCUGCACUGAUAGCCGUGGCGUUGCUGGCACUGGCUGUGCUGCCGCCGUGAUGCCCAGGAGCUGUUCCCAAAGUCCCCGUGAGCUGUGGCGAUGUCUCCAGCCCGUGCCCGCGCUCCUCGUGGUACGUAACGUCCCCCCCAGCGCGAGGGCUCGGUACCACGCGAGUCCCGACAACCGAGACAGGGCGUUAACAGGUGAUGCACAACCACCUGUGUGAAGCCGCUGGGCUCUCUCAGGGCACCCCCCCUCGGUACACCCAGCUCCCCGGGGGACUCCGCUCCUCGGCUUCUUCCUCGGUGUACGGAGUGGGCAGGGAGCCCGGCCUCACGGGGCAUAAGCUGAAGUGGCGGCCCCGAGCCCUGCGGCCCGCCCCGCGCCGCCGCGGGUGGCGGGGGAGGUGCCGCUGCCGCCGAGGCGGGGCCCCGCUCCGCUCCACCGCGCCGCGCCCGGCCCGCACCGUUCCGCUCCGUCCGCGGCCCCGUUCCGGCUCCGCGGCUCCAGCGCGGCGGUGCUGCCGCGCUCCCCCGCCGCGAUUCCGGGCGCCUCCCGCCUCCCAGCAUGAAUGUGAGGAGGGUGGAGAGCAUCUCGGCUCAGCUGGAGGAGGCCAGCUCUACAGGCGCAAGUCUCGCAACUUGGCGUGGGGCUUGCAGGGGGAGCUGCCUGCUUGCAUGGGGUAAAUGCAUCUGUGCUGUUUUGGAAAAAUGUGUGCGCCUGUGGGGACGGUAAGCAAACGCUUAAUGCCAGGGGUCUCGGGCUCAGACGAGCUGAACGCUUUGCAAAAACCGGCCGUAAGGUGCCCGCUGUGGCUGACCUGGUACUUUUGCCUUCACUGAAAAGAGCCAGGGCUGAGAAUGGUCCUCCGGGGGCACCACGCACCGAACUCCCGGGAGGUAAUUUGAUCAGUCCCACGUUCACGUUUCUGCUUUAGUCUCCUUUGCAUCUUCUCGAUGCUUAAAUAACUACCUGAUGGAGAGCAGUGUGCUCUGGUAAGCUAGAGGCUAUCUGCUGCCUUUCUCUCCUCAGCGUUGCAAUGUGGAAUACACCUGAGAAGGGUUGCAAAAUAACUUGUGUUUUGGGGAGGAGAAAAGCAAACUUUGCUGUCUUCCAUCCUUACCAGGGUGUUAAGAGCUGUACUCUCAACAUACGAAGGAAGCAUUUGUUUAGAAACAAAGCUGUAUGGAUUCAGUGUGCGUAACAUUCUGCUGCCAUGUUUCAUAUAAAGUGGUUAAGCAGAGGAAGAUUGGAGGAUUAAUGAAUAAUUUGCAAAAUAGCCAGUCAGAAAUAAGAAAAGUUGUUCUCUAAGACAGGAUAGAAAACUGUUUCAUGUUUCCUUUUGUGUUGUUAGAUUUCUCGUAAACUGUGUGAUGCCAGUGCACAGUAACAGCUUUGUUGUGAAGUUGCUUGAGUGACAGCAGUGUUCCACCCUUUGCCUGUUUUCUCAUGUUUUAAAGUAGUCUGCUUGUCAGAAGAGGCUCAGCCUCAUGUCCUCUGUUGGAUUGUGCUCAGCUUUUCACUCUCCUUACUUCCCUAGAUGCACUUGCAUGUUAGGGCUCAUAGCCCUUCAUAUAGGGUACAGGAUCAUUUGCCUUGGGGAUAGAGAACUUUUGUUCUGAGUGUGCAAUUAGUUUUAGGCUACCAGCUCAAUUGAUAAACUAUCUGUGCAGAAGUUAAAUCUUCCAAAAAAAAAAAGAAAAGAAAAGAAAAGAAAAACCAUAAACUACAGGAAUCCAGCAAAGGAUUCAGCCACUAAUGUGAUUCUUUUUACUGCUUUUCCAGUCACAGCCCCAAAAUUGGAAUUAAGGCAUUUUCCUCUACAUGUACCCCUGUCAGCCUUCCAGCUCUUCUCUAUUACGUAUCAGAAAGUCACUGUUUUUCCAUCCCAGUGUUCUUCAUCACUGACAAGUGCUGGCACCUGUGCUACACCAACAGGACUGGUUGGCUAAACACAACUCAGGUCAUAACUCAGACACAGUGGAAUUUGCACAGCUGCUAUUGAGGCAUAAUUUGUUUUAUGGGUCGUUGCUGUAGAUGUUGAAGCAUAAAGUGCUUGCAGCUUAAUGUUUCAUCCUAUGGGUUUAGAUAGUAGUAACAGGAAAGUGUCUUAUGUAAACUGGGGAAAUAUGAUCUGAAUCAGUGCCAUACAAAUAACAUGAUAUAUCAAGAUGGUAUUUUUAAAUAAAAUGUUUUCAGUUGAGCUGUAUAUUGUUGUG